Molecule: long non-coding RNA, 1353 nt
Filed under: Canis lupus dingo (dingo)
Lineage: Eukaryota; Metazoa; Chordata; Mammalia; Carnivora; Canidae
Description: lncRNA (ENSCAFG00020013462.1)
Source: RNAcentral
UCCCAGGACCCCGGGGUCACGCCUGAGCCCCCCGGGCGCCCCUGCCGUGUGCUCGCUCACGUCCCCCGUCCUGCAGAGCUGGAGCUCUCUCUCCGUCCCACGGCCGGACCUCCGUCGCUGCUAGCUUGUGGUGCAGCCGUCCACAGCCUGGCUCCCGGGAGUCAGUGGGGCCACGUCCCUGCAGCUGCUCUUCUCCUCUGGGCAGUGGGUGUCUGCGGGCAGGACACUGCCGGGGCUCCGUGGGCCUGCAGUGGCCAGGCCGCAUCUGUCCUCGGGUCAGGGACAGUCGUCACAUGCCAACGCGGGGUCCCCGGGCGGCCGCACUCGGCCUGGGUUUACCAGGAGCGGCAGCGGGGUCAGGCCCGGCCCCAGACUGGAGGCCCAUCCCGGGGUCGAGUCAGGGGACCCCUGAGCAGCCGGGCCGGGUGUGCGCCGGGGUGGCCGGAGCGGCAGGACCAGUCACAGGGUCCCUGCCUCCCGGCUCACAGCUCCCUUGGCUCCCCCGAGUCGGCGCGUGGGCCGGGCCUCGUGUGCGUCCUGGGAUCUUUCCCCUGCAGCCCUUCCAGGUGGCUCUCCUCUGCCCUCUGGCAGUUGUCUCACGUGCACGGGCCGACGGGAACCCUCGAGGGGCUUGGACGGGCUUCUGACCGCGGUCCCGGUGAACCUGGGCCAGCUUGGCGGCCUGCGCAGCCCCAGCGCCCGGCCCGGGUCUGGGGGAGGGAGGGCCGCCCUGCGGACACCUGUCCUGGCUCCGUUCUGGACUCUUCUGGGUCCCGGGGGGGAGAGUCUAUUCCCUGCUCCUUGGCGUCGUGGCAGGAUUCAGUUCCCCACGGGCCCCCCAUUUCCUCGCUGGCUGCACGUUCCCGGCUCCUGCAGGCUGGCCGCUCGCCCUGUCUCGGCGCUUCCAUUGCCGAAGCCAGGUGGCGGUGGCCUGAGUCCUCCUCACGCUGGCAGCCCCUCCUCCUUCCGUGUCCUCCCUGUGCUGUGGAGCAGAGGCCCGGGAAGCAAAGGCCUGGGGUGUCCGGGGAGCAGAGGCCUGGGGGGCCCGGGGAGCAGAGGCCUGGGAUGUCCAAGGAGCAGGGUCCCGGGGGUCCCAGGGAGCAGAGGCCCAGGAUGUUUGGGGAGCAGAGACCAGGGAGGCCUGGGGAGCAGAGGCCCGGGUGUGGGGUCCUGGUCAGUGUGGCCCACCCCAUCUGCCCUUGUCUGCCCAGUGCUCCCAGAUCCCCCCAGGGCAGUCACUCUAGACGUGCCCGUGCACUGCUGGGCACACGGCUGCCAUGUGGCCUCUGGGCCCCUGCACGUCAGGCUCACUCACACCCAGCUCACACGUGGCACCGCACACCUGCCAAGUGA